AGCGGGAUAGAGCAGAGGUCAGCUCGUCGGGCUCAUAACCCGAAGGUCGCAGGUUCGAAUCCUGUUCCCGCUA
This 73-nucleotide transfer RNA is filed under the name Beta vulgaris subsp. vulgaris (sugar beet). It matches the Rfam family "tRNA". From Rfam's summary of the family: Transfer RNA (tRNA) molecules are approximately 80 nucleotides in length. Lineage: Eukaryota; Viridiplantae; Streptophyta; Magnoliopsida; Caryophyllales; Amaranthaceae. The record is from Rfam by way of RNAcentral.